CGGUGUUUCAUGAAGAAAAUGUGUAAGGAAAAGGAAGGUAUAUUUGUGUUCAGAGCAAGGCUAACCACAACCACGGCUGAACGUAAAUAAAGGCUUCUGGAAACAUCAGUACGCUUCACCAUUGUCUGGCUGGGGGUUUGCUACAGAUAAACGCGGCGUUUAAGCGCAUCACAACCAUGCCUCUACAAUCAAGGUUUCUGUUGCAGCUUGACCUUCUCUCUGAAAGAUUGCUGAGUGUUUGCAAAGCGACCGGGAGAGCAGAGCAAAAAGCUGAAAGACCUACAGUAGCUGCCAUGAUGACAGGAUGACAUUGAUGCCAGAAGGGAGUCCCUCAUUAAAGGACUCUGCAUGUAUCUGAAUGAGAAUCCCGACAUCUUGGUGCAGGAGUACAUGGACAUGACUGAGGCCACUGCACUGAGUGCCAUCGAGAAAACUACAGUGUGAAUCUACGCACCAGAGAGACGCCAGGCAAUGACUUUUCUGAUGUUGACAUCAUCAUCGAGGGUGUGGUGGUUCUUCUUCAAGAUCUGGAUAAUGUGGCCCUUGCAACAGCCUUGCUGUUUGGACUUUUUUACUCUUUGAACAUGAGGUAUCCGUCAUAGCGCCGCUACACUUUCGAAGUGAUUCAAAAGGUGGUAAUGGAGUUGGAUGUGACUCAACUCUCGAGGAAAGCCCAAAGCUUAAAGACAAAACUGCUCCAGUAAGGAGAGCUCACUGUUGUUGUGCACGUGAGGCUUAAGGUGGAAUUUCCAGAUGAACAAUCAGCAACCCACAACUCAGCACAAUCACAGCAUCCAUUAAGUCCACCAACAAAAAAAAAGUGUCAGCCGGUUUAUACUUCUC
This is a long non-coding RNA of Perca flavescens (yellow perch), 843 nucleotides long. RefSeq lists it as uncharacterized. Lineage: Eukaryota; Metazoa; Chordata; Actinopteri; Perciformes; Percidae. The transcript has 4 exons. The record is from RefSeq and is a predicted model, not a curated record.